GCUCAGGAUGAACGCUGGCGGCGUGCCUAAUACAUGCAAGUCGAGCGAGGUUCUUCGGAACCUAGCGGCGGACGGGUGAGUAACACGUGGGUAACCUGCCUGUAAGACCGGGAUAACUUCGGGAAACCGAAGCUAAUACCGGAUACUUUCGAGCAUCGCAUGAUGCUUGAUGGAAAGGCGGCUUCGGCUGUCACUUACAGAUGGACCCGCGUCGCAUUAGCUAGUUGGUGAGGUAACGGCUCACCAAGGCGACGAUGCGUAGCCGACCUGAGAGGGUGAUCGGCCACACUGGGACUGAGACACGGCCCAGACUCCUACGGGAGGCAACAGUAGGGAAUCUUCGGCAAUGGGCGAAAGCCUGACCGAGCAACGCCGCGUGAGCGAUGAAGGCCUUCGGGUCGUAAAGCUCUGUUGUUAAGGAAGAACAAGUACGAGAGUAACUACUCGUACCUUGACGGUACUUAACGAGAAAGCCACGGCUAACUACGUGCCAGCAGCCGCGGUAAUACGUAGGUGGCAAGCGUUAUCCGGAAUUAUUGGGCGUAAAGCGCGCGCAGGCGGUUUCUUAAGUCUGAUGUGAAAGCCCACGGCUCAACCGUGGAGGGUCAUUGGAAACUGGGAAACUUGAGUGCAGAAGAGGAAAGCGGAAUUCCACGUGUAGCGGUGAAAUGCGUAGAGAUGUGGAGGAACACCAGUGGCGAAGGCGGCUUUCUGGUCUGUAAACUACGCU
RNAcentral lists this ribosomal RNA (730 nucleotides) under uncultured bacterium. RNAcentral describes it as "bacterial SSU rRNA". It matches the Rfam family "Bacterial small subunit ribosomal RNA", at positions 22 to 747 of the family's 1533-position model. The record is from RNAcentral.